UCGGUAUAAAGGAGAUCGUGGUAGAAGUAAUCGAUAAAUUCGAAGCAGCGCCACCGACCAGUCAAGUAGUAGUCAUUGUGCUCCUACGAAACUCGAACAGUCAGUUGUGAAACAAUCCAGAACAAAAUGCCGGGACCAGGAUGCGACAAGUGUGCUGAUAAGUGUCAGGAUUGCAAAUGUGGCGACUCGUGCAAUUGCUGCACUUCCGAAUGCGGAGACAAGUGUGAUUGUAAAUCUGGCAGCGAGUGUUGUUGUUGUAAACCCUGUAAGUGCAAAAUUGGAAAUAAAGCAGCAAAUUGACCAUCAAGUUUAAAGGUGAAUGUUACAAUGACAAAAUCUUUUUCUCUCUAAUCCCUGUAACAUGAAAAUUAUAUUGAAGCGUAAGCUAUAGUAUUAUACAAGCAUUUUAUGUACUAAUAAAAUACAUACUUAAAGCGUUC
Long non-coding RNA from Colletes gigas, 440 nucleotides. RefSeq lists it as uncharacterized. The record is from RefSeq and is a predicted model, not a curated record. Lineage: Eukaryota; Metazoa; Arthropoda; Insecta; Hymenoptera; Colletidae. The transcript is spliced from 3 exons.